RNAcentral lists this ribosomal RNA (458 nucleotides) under uncultured bacterium. RNAcentral's name for it is "bacterial SSU rRNA". It matches the Rfam family "Bacterial small subunit ribosomal RNA", at positions 338 to 793 of the family's 1533-position model. The record is from RNAcentral.
CCUACGGGAGGCAGCAGUGAGGAAUAUUGGACAAUGGAGGCAACUCUGAUCCAGCCAUGCCGCGUGCAGGAAGACUGCCCUAUGGGUUGUAAACUGCUUUUAUACAGGAAGAAACACUAGUACGUGUACCAGCUUGACGGUACUGUAAGAAUAAGGACCGGCUAACUCCGUGCCAGCAGCCGCGGUAAUACGGAGGGUCCGAGCGUUAUCCGGAAUCAUUGGGUUUAAAGGGUCCGCAGGCGGUCAAUUAAGUCAGAGGUGAAAUCCCAUAGCUCAACUAUGGAACUGCCUUUGAUACUGGUUGACUUGAGUCAUAUGGAAGUAGAUAGAAUGUGUAGUGUAGCGGUGAAAUGCAUAGAUAUUACACAGAAUACCGAUUGCGAAGGCAGUCUACUACGUAUGUACUGACGCUGAGGGACGAAAGCGUGGGGAGCGAACAGGAUUAGAUACCCUGGUAG